RNAcentral lists this long non-coding RNA (398 nucleotides) under Ixodes scapularis (black-legged tick). RNAcentral describes it as "uncharacterized LOC121833302". Lineage: Eukaryota; Metazoa; Arthropoda; Arachnida; Ixodida; Ixodidae. The record is from RNAcentral.
GGCAGAUGGGCCAGAGAGGGUCCGUCGGGCAAAUGGGAAGGGGUCUUUGUUUGAAAAGAACCUGUUUUAGUAUAGCCUUCGUCAGGACUUAGAAGCUGGUCGUCUCCGAUCAUUGUGAAAUCCGGUUUGGAAUCGCGGUGCUGCAACGCUGCACUUGAUCUGUUCUGAAGUCCCAAGACAAGGGAACUCGAUUAAGGCAAGAAGCUGCAGGUGCCCCAAUAAACGGUGCUUGGACCACGACCGGUUUGAACAGCCGUCCCAGUGUUCAAGCCAUCGUCGACGCAAGUGCACUCUUCGGAAUCUGGCCUUAUCGUGGAGUCUACCGCUCAGGAAUUUUGACUUUAGUCAUCCUUGAUUGCGAUGUGUAUUUACGAGGCAAUAAAGCUACGUUUAACCUG